AGACUUUGAUUAUGGCUCAGGACGAACGCUGGCGGCGUGCUUAACACAUGCAAGUCGAACGGUCUACCUCGACAGAAACCUUCGGGUUGAAGACGAGAUCUAGAUAGUGGCGGACGGGUGAGUAACACGUGAAUAAUCUAUCCUCAAGUUUGGGAUAACCUGGCGAAAGUCGGGCUAAUCCGAGGUAAGCUGAGAGUGUGGCAUCACACAAUCAGAAAAGGUGGCAUUGCCAUCGUUUGAGGAGGAGUUCGCGGUAGAUUAGCUAGCUGGUGAGGUAACGGCUCACCAGGGGCAACAAUCUAUAGCUGGUCUGAGAGGACGAUCAGUCACACUGGAACUGAGACACGGUCCAGACUCCUACGGGAGGCAGCAGUGGGGAAUCUUCCACAAUGGGCGCAAGCCUGAUGGAGCAACGCCGCGUGAAUGAAGAAGGCCUUAGGGUCGUAAAGUUCUGUCCUUAGGGAAGAACCGUGGGUAUAGCAAAUGAUACCCACCUGACGGUACCUUUGGAGGAAGCACUGGCUAACUACGUGCCACAGCCGCGGAUAAUACGUAGAGUGCAAGCGUUGUCCGGAAUUAUUGGGCGUAACAGGGUACGCAGGCGGAUAGUAAAGUCAAGCGUGAACAGGUGUCGGCUUAACCGACAGACUGCGUUUGAAACUGAUUAUCUUGAGUGUAACAGAGGAGAGUGGAAUUCCUCAGUGUAGUGGUCGAAAUACGU
RNAcentral lists this ribosomal RNA (721 nucleotides) under uncultured bacterium. Its description in RNAcentral is "bacterial SSU rRNA". It matches the Rfam family "Bacterial small subunit ribosomal RNA", at positions 8 to 691 of the family's 1533-position model. The record is from RNAcentral.